AUUUCUUUGGGUUAACUUAAACUCAGCCCUUCUAGGCCCAUUCUUCUCACUCAGGAAUUGGAGAAGUUUUUCUGAGGGAUUUGGAAUGGGAUGGCAGGGAGAGUCACCAGACACCGUGAA
MicroRNA precursor from Cercocebus atys (sooty mangabey), 120 nucleotides. The record is from Ensembl. NCBI's taxonomy places the organism in Eukaryota, Metazoa, Chordata, Mammalia, Primates, Cercopithecidae.